RNAcentral lists this ribosomal RNA (506 nucleotides) under uncultured bacterium. RNAcentral's name for it is "partial 16S ribosomal RNA". It matches the Rfam family "Bacterial small subunit ribosomal RNA", at positions 29 to 523 of the family's 1533-position model. The record is from RNAcentral.
AGUGAACGCUGGCGGUAGGCCUAACACAUGCAAGUCGAACGGCAGCACAGGAGAGCUUGCUCUCUGGGUGGCGAGUGGCGGACGGGUGAGGAAUACAUCGGAAUCUACUCUGUCGUGGGGGAUAACGUAGGGAAACUUACGCUAAUACCGCAUACGACCUACGGGUGAAAGCAGGGGACCUUCGGGCCUUGCGCGAUUGAAUGAGCCGAUGUCGGAUUAGCUAGUUGGCGGGGUAAAGGUCCACCAAGGCGACGAUCCGUAGCUGGUCUGGGAGGAUGGUCAGCCACACUGGAACUGAGACACGGUCCAGACUCCUACGGGAGGCAGCAGUGGGGAAUAUUGGACAAUGGGCGCAAGCCUGAUCCAGCCAUACCGCGUGGGUGAAGAAGGCCUUCGGGUUGUAAAGCCCUUUUGUUGGGAAAGAAAUCCAGCUGGCUAAUACCCGGUUGGGAUGACGGUACCCAAAGAAUAAGCACCGGCUAACUUCGUGCCAGCCGCCGCGGUAA